This 253-nucleotide ribosomal RNA is filed under the name uncultured bacterium. RNAcentral describes it as "partial 16S ribosomal RNA". It matches the Rfam family "Bacterial small subunit ribosomal RNA", at positions 524 to 776 of the family's 1533-position model. The record is from RNAcentral.
UACGUAGGGGGCAAGCGUUGUCCGGAUUUAUUGGGCGUAAAGAGCGUGUAGGCGGCCAUACAGGUCCGUUGUGAAAACUCGAGGCUCAACCUCGAGACGUCGAUGGAAACCGUAUGGCUAGAGUCCGGAAGAGGAGAGUGGAAUUCCUGGUGUAGCGGUGAAAUGCGCAGAUAUCAGGAAGAACACCUAUGGCGAAGGCAGCUCUCUGGGACGGUACUGACGCUGAGACGCGAAAGCGUGGGGAGCGAACAGG